GCCUCUUGGGGAGGAUGUGAAUGUAUUUGUGCAUUAACCCCGAAGUACAGGCGCACUCUUUCUGAUCCAGUAGAGAUGUAAUUAUUUAUACAAACUGACAUGACACAAUUAGGGACAAUGAAUCAAGCUCAAGAUACUCAGUGUCUCAGUGGCUGAGAUACUUCCCCAGCGGUGGGAAAGGUAUCCUCCAUUCCAAAAGAGUGUUCUAUGCAAGAGCCUCCCCUGGCUGCAAUGUAUCUUUGAAUAUGGCUUCAACCAACACCUCAGCUCUCAACAUUUUCAAAGUACUCGUGGAUAGAGCUCUGUGCUGUUAGAAGAAUAAAGGCUUUUACUACAGUGAAAGCAAUUGUAGCUGCUUUUACCUCCUCCCACUGGACAAUUCACUUCUUAGCAAUUUGUUUCUGUUUGUUUUAUUUCUCCAGACCAGAUCUCUGAUCCCGGCUCUUUAAGUCUGGCCAAACCAAGCAGCCCAGUUCCUUUGGCAAACGUCAUUUGUUGGUGCCUGCUACUGAUUACUUUUCCCAGGACAGACAUCACUCUGUGCACUGAUAAAGAGCGAGAAGAUCAGCCGGUCUUACAGCUGUGGGCGUUGUUGGAGCUGCAGACAAGCUGAGCAUAAGAUGCUGCAGGUGAGAUGGGACAGUGCUGGGCUCUGAGUAGGGGACGGAACGGAGGGAGGCUGUU
This 684-nucleotide long non-coding RNA is filed under the name Coturnix japonica (Japanese quail). RNAcentral describes it as "lncRNA (ENSCJPG00005020125.1)". Lineage: Eukaryota; Metazoa; Chordata; Aves; Galliformes; Phasianidae. The record is from RNAcentral.